RNAcentral lists this ribosomal RNA (393 nucleotides) under uncultured bacterium. RNAcentral describes it as "partial 16S ribosomal RNA". It matches the Rfam family "Bacterial small subunit ribosomal RNA", at positions 523 to 918 of the family's 1533-position model. The record is from RNAcentral.
AUACGGAGGAUCCAAGCGUUAUCCGGAUUUAUUGGGUUUAAAGGGUGCGCAGGCGGAAGAUUAAGUCGGCGGUGAAAUUUUGCAGCUCAACUGUAAAAGUGCCAUCGAUACUGGUUUUCUUGAGUGUGGAUGAAGUAGGCGGAAUUUGUGGUGUAGCGGUGGAAUGCAUAGAUAUCACGAGGAACUCCGAUUGCGCAGGCAGCUUACUAGGCCAUAACUGACGCUCAGGCACGAAGGCGUGGGGAUCAAACAGGAUUAGAUACCCUGGUAGUCCACGCAGUAAACGAUGAUUACUCGCUGUUUGCGAUACACAGUAAGCGGCUUAGCGAAAGCGUUAAGUAAUCCACCUGGGGAGUACGUUCGCAAGAAUGAAACUCAAAUGAAUUGACGGGG